Molecule: ribosomal RNA, 494 nt
Filed under: uncultured bacterium
Lineage: Bacteria
Description: partial 16S ribosomal RNA
Rfam family: Bacterial small subunit ribosomal RNA
Source: RNAcentral
GACGAACGCUGGCGGCGUGCUUAACACAUGCAAGUCGAACGGUGAAGCGCCUUCCUUUUUGGUGGGUGUGGAUGAGUGGCGAACGGGUGAGUAACACGUGAGUAACCUGCCCCCUUCUUCUGGAUAACCGCAUGAAAGUGUGGCUAAUACGGGAUAUUCUGGGUCUGUCGCAUGAUGGGUCUGGGAAAGAUAUUGUUUCGGUGGGGGAUGGGCUCGCGGCCUAUCAGCUUGUUGGUGGGGUGAUGGCCUACCAAGGCGGUGACGGGUAGCCGGCCUGAGAGGGUGGACGGUCACACUGGGACUGAGGCACGGCCCAGACUCCUACGGGAGGCAGCAGUGGGGAAUAUUGCACAAUGGGCGAAAGCCUGAUGCAGCGACGCCGCGUGAGGGAUGGAGGCCUGCGGGUUGUGAACCUCUUUCGCCAGUGAAGCAGGCCUGCCUCGUUUGUGGGUGGGUUGACGGUAGCUGGAUAAGAAGCGCCGGCUAACUACGUG